AGAGUUUGAUCCUGGCUCAGGACGAACGCUGGCGGCGUGCUUAACACAUGCAAGUCGAACGGACUUAUUUAACGGAUAUUUUCGGAUGGAAGUUAAAUAGGUUAGUGGCGGACGGGUGAGUAACGCGUGGGUAACCUACCCUGCUUACGGGGACAACAGCUGGAAACGGCUGCUAAUACCGGAUACGAUCCUUGGGCUGCAUGGCCUAAGGAAGAAAGGUGGCCUCUAUUUAUAAGCUACCGAUGCAGGAUGGGCCCGCGUCUGAUUAGAUAGUUGGUGAGGUAACGGCUCACCAAGUCAGCGAUCAGUAGCCGGCCUGAGAGGGUGGCCGGCCACACUGGGACUGAGACACGGCCCAGACUCCUACGGGAGGCAGCAGUGGGGAAUCUUCCGCAAUGGGCGCAAGCCUGACGGAGCAACGCCGCGUGAGUGAAGAAGGCCUUCGGGUCGUAAAGCUCUGUCUUCAGGGAAGAACAACCAUAGUGUGAAUAAUGCUAUGGUCUGACGGUACCUGAGGAGGAAGCUCCGGCUAACUACGUGCCAGCAGCCGCGGUAAUACGUAGGGAGCGAGCGUUGUCCGGAAUUACUGGGCGUAAAGGGCGUGUAGGCGGGGAUUUAAGUCAGAUGUGAAAACUCUAGGCUCAACCUGGAGACUGCAUUUGAAACUGGAUCUCUUGAGGGCAGGAGAGGAAAGUGGAAUUCCUAGUGUAGCGGUGAAAUGCGUAGAUAUUAGGAGGAACACCAGUGGCGAAGGCGACUUUCUGGACUGUACCUGACGCUGAGGCGCGAAAGCGUGGGGAGCGAACAGGAUUAGAUACCCUGGUAGUCCACGCUGUAAACGAUGAAUACUAGGUGUAGGGGGUAUCGACCCCCUCUGUGCCGCAGUUAACACAAUAAGUAUUCCGCCUGGGGAGUACGGCCGCAAGGCUGAAACUCAAAGGAAUUGACGGGGACCCGCACAAGCGGUGGAGCAUGUGGUUUAAUUCGACGCAACGCGAAGAACCUUACCAGGGCUUGACAUCCCCUGACAGCCAUGGAAACAUGGUGUUCGAGCUUUCGGGUUCGACAGGGAGACAGGUGGUGCAUGGUUGUCGUCAGCUCGUGUCGUGAGAUGUUGGGUUAAGUCCCGCAACGAGCGCAACCCCUAUUUCCAGUUGCCAGCACUUAGGGUGGGAACUCUGGAGAAACUGCCGGUGACAAACCGGAGGAAGGUGGGGAGGACGUCAAAUCAUCAUGCCCUUUAUGUCCUGGGCUACACACGUGCUACAAUGGUCGGUACAGAGGGCUGCGAAGCCGUGAGGUGGAGCGAAUCUCAAAAAGCCGGUCUCAGUUCGGAUUGCAGGCUGCAACCCGCCCGCAUGAAGUCGGAAUCGCUAGUAAUCGCGAGUCAGCAUAUCGCGGUGAAAAAGGGCCCGGGUCUUGCACACACCGCCCGUCA
RNAcentral lists this ribosomal RNA (1438 nucleotides) under uncultured bacterium. Its description in RNAcentral is "bacterial SSU rRNA". It matches the Rfam family "Bacterial small subunit ribosomal RNA". The record is from RNAcentral.